Equus quagga is the source of this 2920-nucleotide RNA transcript. It is a transcript of the gene named receptor accessory protein 4, with no coding region annotated. The record is from RefSeq and is a predicted model, not a curated record. Lineage: Eukaryota; Metazoa; Chordata; Mammalia; Perissodactyla; Equidae. The transcript has 8 exons.
CAAGAAACCUCCUUUCCCUGGCCCCAUCAUUGCCUAUUCCAUCCUUUUGAUAGGUGGUGGGUGUUAAUAUGGCUCUAAUAAAAAGUAAUAACUGCCAAGUUUCCCACUCCACAGCUCUCGGCAGCUCUGCUGUCGCCCUCACCUCAGGCCCCGAGGCAGAGGCGAGGCUGGGGGAGCAGGGAGGAGGGGAAUGCUGUGUUACCCAUUGUCAGAGUGAGGCAUGAGGCCCUAAGCAGAAGAGGUACAAAGAAUGCAACCCCACGUGGAAAGUUGUAGAGGCAGCAAAGUUUGCCUUCUCUUUUGAGCUUCCUGUCGUCUUCCAGGUAUACACCUCCCUCCGGGGGGCGGGGGGCUCCCACGUUCCCUGUCCCCUCCCAGGGCCGCCCUCAGACGACGGAUCAAGCCAAACGUUUAUCCAACAAGUGCCACCAGGUGACGUUGGGCAAGCUUCUUUUCGUCACCGAGCAAGCCUAUUUCCUAAAUGGGAAAAAAGGAUCAAGACCCUGCGCACAAAAAUGCACUACAAAAUGGCGAUCGUUGAUGCUAUGAAGCCCUCAGGGAUACUUGUGUUCUGGACUCACAGGAAUACGUUUCCACCUAUUCAAACUUCUGGGGAAGAAGGCAUGGGGGGCUAGGGCCUCUGCCUGGAAGCUCUGAAAUCAUCGUGGUCAGCCUGCGCAGGCGUGUGUGCCCUGGACCGGUAUCCCACCGCGAAGUCAACUCCCUCCCAAAGCCCACUCUUCAGGGUGAGUCGGGUGGGCGCGAUGAGUCCCUCAGGUUCCCUCACCCAUACUUUCUCCCCGCUUUCCCUAUAGGUCAACUCAGCGUCUUUGAGGCGUUUCCUGACUGCUGACCCAGUGGUGCAAGAGCCGGAUUUGCUGGCACUCAGCCAAGCCACUUUUGUGCCUGGGCCUUGAGGGGGGACCCUGGCCCAUCAUAAGCCCAUUCCCAUUUUACAGAGGGGAAAAACAAGGCAAAAGGGGGAAGCCAGUGAAGACCACGAAACCUUGAGUUCAAAUUUCCUUUUUCCUCCUUCCACCGCCCCACCUUGGUUUUUUUUUUUUUGCCGCAUCUCAUACCCUAAUUUUCCCGCUUAGGAGGGCUGCUCAAUCUUCGGGGCCCACCUGCGAGGCGGCGGAGCGUCGCCGCUUUAAGGAGCAGGGCGCUCGCCCCGCCCCCGCCCUCGCCCUCGCCCCGCCCCCCGGGGCUGCAGCGCGCCUGCGCCCGGCGCCGGCGACCCGGGUUGGGCAGAGCCGGGCGCCGUGCAACUUUCAAGUGAGCUGGGAACUCCGCCCCGCGGCGGGCCAGGCGCCUGGGCCGCGGGGACCGUUCGGGCGAGGACUGCGACCCACCACCCCCGGCCCGGACCCGCCGUGGUGCCCCGCGAGGGCCGAACGCCUGGCUCCCCGCGGCAAGCAGUGCAAGUCGUGACUGCCGGGCGGCGCGGCGGGCAGAAGAGCGCGCCAGCCGGUACCGGCUCCCGGCCGGUGCCUCCGUGUGUGGCCUGCCUGCCCGGCCUGCUGGGCUCCCCCUUCUUCCGGCUAGCCGCUCUGCGGAGUUAGGGAGCGGCAGGUUCCGAUUUGGGGGUGCCCCUUCCGUUCCCGCUCCUCCACUGACUCCGCAUCCUGGCCCCGCGGGAGCGUGCCUCUUGGCGUCUUCUUGGGUGGUCUCCCUUCACCCCCGAGGCUGCAGGAUGGUGUCCUGGAUGAUCUGUCGCCUGGUGGUGCUGGUAUUUGGGCUGCUGUACCCAGCUUAUGCUUCGUACAAGGCUGUGAAGACCAAGAACAUUCGUGAAUAUGUCCGGUGGAUGAUGUACUGGAUAGUCUUUGCACUCUUCAUGGCAGUGGAGACCUUCAUGGACAUCUUUAUUUCCUGGUUCCCUUUCUACUAUGAGAUCAAGAUUGCUUUUGUGCUGUGGCUGCUCUCGCCCUACACCAAGGGGGCCAGCCUGCUUUACCGCAAGUUCGUCCACCCAUCCUUGUCCCGCCAUGAGAAGGUGCCCCAGCGUGAAGGCAGGGAGGAGAGCAUGGCAGGGAGAUCGACACCUACAUUGUGCAGGCCAAGGAGCGCAGCUAUGAGACAGUGCUCAGCUUUGGGAAGCGGGGCCUCAACAUUGCUGCUUCAGCCGCUGUGCAGGCUGCCACCAAGAGUCAGGGUGCGCUGGCUGGAAGGCUGCGGAGCUUCUCCAUGCAGGACCUGCGCUCCAUCCCUGAUACUGCCCCCACCUACCAGGAUCCCCUCUACCUGGAGGACCAGGUUCCCCACUGCAGGCCACCCAUCGGGUACCGGUCAGGGGGCCUGCAGGACAGUGACACUGAUGGCGAGUGUUGGUCCGAUACAGAGGUAGUUCCGCAGCCACAAACCCGGCCCCCCCGAGAGAAGCCUCUGAGCCGCAGCCAGAGCCUGCGUGUGAGCAGGAAGAAGCCGCUGGUGCGGGAGGGCACCUCACGCUCCCUGAAGGUUCGGACGAGGAAAAAGACCGUGCCCUCAGACAUGGACAGCUAGGGUCUGCAGAGCCCGGCCCAGUCUUACCUCGGGCCCUGCAGGGUGCUGGGGGCUGUUUGAGGAGCCUCUGGCUGCACGUCCAGCCUAUCCGCACCAGCUGCCCGAGCUCUGCCCUGCCGGCUCCUGCUCUUGGUUACGGGCCACACGCAGGGACGUACUGGCUAUGGGCCAAAGCGGGCUGGGCCCACGCUGCUGUUUACUGCCCUUCUCAUCCCUCCGCCUUCCGGGUGUGGGACCAGAGCCCUCCCCAGACCCCUGCAAAUGAAACCCAAAACCUUGCCAGCUGUUUUCAUUCCUUCCUGUCCUUCCAAAUACUUGACAGCCUUCUCCAAGGCCUUGUGUGUAUCCUGGUUGUAUGUUUUGUGUUGGUGAAUGAGGUCAGGUUUGUGCAGUUUUGAUAAAUAGCUACAUGAAA